GUCAGUGUCAUCAAUUAAGCAUUCUUUGUCUAUCCUAUCUCACAGAUUUCAUCUAGAGUUUGACAUCCACAAGGCAUACAAAGAGGAUAGCUAGAUCGCAGGAGGAUUUCCUCAAGUCUCCUCAAUAUGGAGUGCUUCAGUGUGACAACUGAAACCCAGCAAGAUCUGGAAGAAGAUGGUGCUCACAGAGGCAAGAUGAGACCAGUAAGCUGUGUGAGGAAAUGAUUUGCAACCUAAGGAGAGGGAAGCUCAAUGACUUUGCUACAGCAUCUUUCCCAGUGUAAGGAGGCCUUCUGGUGGUCAAAACAGUGAAUACUUCUUCCAGAGAGCAUUACUCAUCCAAAUGCAAUAGAAGAGCAACUCCAUGCUCCCAGCUUUAUUCACAAUUCCAUGUGAAAACCACCCUUUCAAGCGUGCAUUUCCCACUGGAGGGAGAAGAGGGGAAAGGCAACACAGAGGAGGAGCAACACACUGAAGAUGGGGCCUGCAUGUCAACAGUUGAAAAGAAAAUGCAGUUUUACUUCUGCAAAGUGUCUGAAAAUCAGCAAGAUCUCUUGGGCUGAGGUGGUGAGAGACGUGGAGUAAGUUUUACAGAAGCUUCAGAGACCUGGUGCAAUUUCUCUUUACUGGUUGAACUGCUAAGGAGACUGCCCAGAAAGCAGUGCAUACAAACUCAUUCCCUUCUUCCAGAAGGCAAUUCAACUCCCUCAGAACACCUCCAUGAACUGCUAUGUUUGAUGGCUGAUAAUUCUAAGCAUUUAUCAUUUUAGCUGUUUCACUUUGCCCGGAUUCUUUAAA
RNAcentral lists this long non-coding RNA (798 nucleotides) under Junco hyemalis (dark-eyed junco). Its description in RNAcentral is "lncRNA (ENSJHYG00000011041.1)". The record is from RNAcentral. Lineage: Eukaryota; Metazoa; Chordata; Aves; Passeriformes; Passerellidae.